RNAcentral lists this ribosomal RNA (198 nucleotides) under uncultured bacterium. Its description in RNAcentral is "partial 16S ribosomal RNA". It matches the Rfam family "Bacterial small subunit ribosomal RNA", at positions 328 to 539 of the family's 1533-position model. The record is from RNAcentral.
ACGCUCGACACCUACGGGAGGCAGCAGUGGGGAAUAUUGCACAAUGGGGGAAACCCUGAUGCAGCGACGCCGCGUGGAGGAAGAAGGUCUUCGGAUUGUAAACUCCUGUUGUUGGGGAAAAANGGAUGGUACCCAAACAAGGAAGUGACGGCUAACUACGUACCAGCAGCCGCGGUAAUCUGAGCGGGCUGGCAAGGC